Molecule: long non-coding RNA, 1451 nt
Organism: Gorilla gorilla gorilla (western lowland gorilla)
Lineage: Eukaryota; Metazoa; Chordata; Mammalia; Primates; Hominidae
Exons: 5
Source: RefSeq, a predicted model, not a curated record
UGUACAUGUCAACCACAUUGUCAUGGUGGUAAUCCCGCAUGAUCACGACCUGGGAAAACGGGAAAGAUACUUUUGACUUGUGAAGAUGAAGUUGCUUUUUGUUCUCUUGUGGCCACAUCUACAAUUCAGCAUCAUCAGAGUCCACCCUUAACAGCUGGCAUAUGACAUAAAGAAGAAGCCUGCCUGCACCAAGGGGACAAUUUCCAGGCAAAAAUGGAAUGCAGAGCUCUCUGCUGAAAGCUAACCAUCUUCAAAAUAGGCCAUGAGACAAAAAGGUGUUGUUGUCUUUCAUGGCUGCUGGUAAGAGGUGUAGACUCUUAAGCAAUGGUUGAGGAACAGCCAGUAUCACAAGAGACAAUGUUUUGAAUGAAACUCGAGGCAUACUCAUCAGAGAAUGAACUGUUCACUUCAAGUGAGGGGACAUGUGGUCUUCCCUCAGAGGACAAAUAGCUGACUCUGUGAAGGAGAAAUGCAUGGGUGACCCCAUUUGGGGCCACCAAGGUGCUGAACCAUUGCCUUCUGUUGGAUCUUAACCCACAUGUGGGGUUCCAUGAUGAACUCUGCAUUGUUACAACACCACUCAGGCUUUCUUCUGUAAGUUCUUUCAAGGAAGACAGUGCAAACUUUCUUCUGUGAUGAGACCUCCUCACAUAGCUCUUGGACUUUCAUAGUCAUCCCAUAGUUCCAGCUUUUACCCACGGUUUACACUCUGGGUGACAUUAAGGAACUUCUCAAGGAUUCCAUCCUACAGGAUGGAAGAACAGGAAGAAUAAACAGCAUUCCAUGGGCACAGAAAAUCCACCUGUCAGUCACCACCCAUUCUUCAACAGCAAGGACAAAAUGUAAAACUGUGUCAAACACACACACACUCACGUAUGACCCUCCUCAUUUCUGCUUCAUCUGGAGACCUACACAAGUUUUGUGCUUCCUUUUAUUAUUGGAGAUGAAAACAUGACCCAGCCUCCUUUAGGAGUCUCUGCAAGCAAGGCCGACUCAUCUGAGUCGUGACCGCUAUUUCUUCCCUCAGCUGGAAAUCCAAAUGUGAUUGGUAUACUCUAAGAGUACCGUUCUAAAGACACAGGCACCUCCGUCUUUUCAGAGAAAUGUUGUAUUUUUAAUCAAGUAAACGUUUUAAUUACUAACCUGCCUCCCACCUCUUAUCCUCCCACAAAACACAAAACCUGCUCAUGAAUCUCUCACGAGUUUCCUGUGAAACAUGGAGCAGCAGCUUGCUUCUUUGUAUUUCUGAUCAUAAGGGCUGAACACCCUUGGUAGAAGUUCCCAUGAGUGAAUAUGCUGUUUUUGUUGUUGUUGUUUUUGGUGAGCCACAAUAGUUUGUGCAUUGUUUCUGGGCUGGCAGAGCCUGAUUUCAGGGCAGGUCUGCUUUAUCUUAUAUUUGGAAGUCUGCAGAAUAGAGAGAGCCUAUAGGGAAUUAAAGUGAAUCACCCCUC